RNAcentral lists this ribosomal RNA (492 nucleotides) under uncultured bacterium. RNAcentral's name for it is "partial 16S ribosomal RNA". It matches the Rfam family "Bacterial small subunit ribosomal RNA", at positions 30 to 507 of the family's 1533-position model. The record is from RNAcentral.
AUUGAACGCUAGCGGGAUGCUUUACACAUGCAAGUCGAACGGCAGCACGAAAAGAGCUUGCUCUUUUUGGUGGCGAGUGGCGAACGGGUGAGUAAUGUAUCGGAAUGUACUCAGUAGCGGGGGAUAACUACGCGAAAGUGUGGCUAAUACCGCAUACGACCUACGGGGGAAAGGGGGGGAUCGUAAGACCUUUCACUAUUGGAUCAGCCGAUAUCGGAUUAGCUAGUUGGCGGGGUAAAGGCCCACCAAGGCAACGAUCCGUAGCUGGUCUGAGAGGACGACCAGCCACACUGGAACUGAGACACGGCCCAGACUCCUACGGGAGGCAGCAGUGGGGAAUUUUGGACAAUGGGGGAAAGCCUGAUCCAGCCAUCCCGCGUGUGCGAUGAAGGCCUUCGGGUUGUAAAGCACUUUUGGCAGGGAAGAAACGGCGCAGACUAAUACUUGGCGCAACUGACGGUACCUGCAGAAUAAGCACCGGCUAACUACGUG